UCGAGAAUCUUCGGCAAUGGGCGCAAGCCUGACCGAGCGACGCCGCGUGCGGGAUGAAGGCCUUCGGGUUGUAAACCGCUGUCGAGGGGGAUAAAGUGCAGGUGGGUACUCCCAUUUGUUUGAUAGAUCCCUGGAGGAAGCAUGGGCUAAGUUCGUGCCAGCAGCCGCGGUAAGACGAACCAUGCAAACGUUAUUCGGAUUCACUGGGCUUAAAGCGUGCGUAGGCGGUCUUGUUAGUCAGGUGUGAAAGCCCUCAGCCCAACUGAGGAAUUGCGCUUGAUACUGCAUGACUUGAGAGAGAUAGAGGUGGGUGGAACUGAUGGUGGAGCGGUGAAAUGCGUUGAUAUCAUCAGGAACACCAGUGGCGAAGGCGACCCACUGGGUCUCUUCUGACGCUGAGGUACGAAAGCUAGGGUAGCGAACGG
This 425-nucleotide ribosomal RNA is filed under the name uncultured bacterium. Its description in RNAcentral is "bacterial SSU rRNA". It matches the Rfam family "Bacterial small subunit ribosomal RNA", at positions 355 to 775 of the family's 1533-position model. The record is from RNAcentral.